This 287-nucleotide ribosomal RNA is filed under the name Klebsiella pneumoniae. RNAcentral's name for it is "partial 16S ribosomal RNA". It matches the Rfam family "Bacterial small subunit ribosomal RNA", at positions 375 to 654 of the family's 1533-position model. The record is from RNAcentral. Lineage: Bacteria; Pseudomonadati; Pseudomonadota; Gammaproteobacteria; Enterobacterales; Enterobacteriaceae.
GCGCAAGCCUGAUGCAGCAAUGCCGCGUGUGUGAAGAAGGCCUACGGGUUGUAAAGCACUAUCAGCGGGGAGGAAGGCGGUGAGGUUAAUUCCCUCAUCGAUUGACGUUACCCGCUGAAGAAGCACCGGCUAACUCCGUGCCAGCAGCCGCGGUAAUACGGAGGGUGCAAGCGUUAAUCGGAAUUACUGGGCGUAAAGCGCACGCAGGCGGUCUGUCAAGUCGGAUGUGAUAUCCCCGGGCUCAACCUGGGAACUGCAUUCGAAUCUGGCAGGCUAGAUUCUUGUAG